GAGCUCACUUCAGCAGCACAUACACUAAAACUGGAAUGACACAGAGAAGAUUAGCAUGGCCCCUGCACAUGAAUCAGAUACACAAGCUUAAAUAUUGUAUGAUUUUUU
Heterocephalus glaber (naked mole-rat) is the source of this 108-nucleotide small nuclear RNA. Lineage: Eukaryota; Metazoa; Chordata; Mammalia; Rodentia; Bathyergidae. The record is from Ensembl.